UUGAAGAAGAGCUUUAAAUGACAUCUUUCAGUGGACUGCUAGGGACUAUGUCCUCAUUUGUUCUUCCUGUAAAGAAUUUCUGUCGUUGCUUUUCUGCUACUCAAAUUAUAUCACAAAAGAAGUUAUCCUGUAUGUUAGAAGAUAGAAGCAUCUUACGUGGACCCUUUUCCUGCUGAUCAUCCUAACAGGCAAGGUUCUGGUCAGCAUGAUGCAUGUCUCGAGUUUUAUGAGCACUUGGGAAUCACCAGGACAGUGCUGAAUGAUGACCGUCAUCCUGUUCAAUAGUAGUGCUUGCUGCUCUCUUCUUUUCUCUACACUCAGGGUCAUAAAGAGCUAAUAGGUGUUUUACAUCAUCUCUAUAGCAGAGUGGAAAUGUGAUUUACUACUUUUGACCUCAUCAUAGAAUAAUGAGUGCCCAACUUAAAUACCUGUCUAAAAUUGAUGUAUGGCCUUCCCAUAAUGUCCUCUUGAAUGUGAUGACACUCUUUUGUUACUAAGCUGAAAUCAGAAUAAUGUUUUAAGAUAACUUAUUUAAGAUUACACAUCAAUUGUAGAGCUCAAGCCACAGAGAUCUUUGUACCCUCUUUUUCGUGUGUUUCAGUAAGCUGUUUCUUGUCUGUUUUAUUACCAUUGAGAGAAAAAAAAACAAUCCCCGGGAUAUUUCAAGGUAGUUACUGACAAAUUGAAGUCGCAAACUCCUCAUCCAUCAGCAGGUUCAUGCACGGGUUCUUGUUUGCUUUGUGUCUCAGGGGACAAUAAGAAGCACAGCCUUGUGGGUACUUAACUCAAGCUGACUGUCAAUCUGUUUCUCUUAGUUGCCCAUGUUAUCAAAUUUAUAAAUUGUCUAUCUUUCAGUCAUCUGCAGCCUCACUUUGAUCCUGCUGCUGAGGCAGGCUAAAGCUCACCUUCACCCUGGACCUGCUCAUGAUACGCAGAUGAGAAUAGCAGCACAUGCCAGAGUUCCCCUGCCAUACUUUCUUAACUUAAAGUAACACGGAAAAAUGAUUUCAUGUUUAACACCAGGCUCUCACAGCAAUAACCUUGCUUCAGUCUAAAUUUCCUUUCAUUAGUAUGUGGUCUCUAUCAAAUCUGUAAAGGCUGACUCAGUCUUCCUUCAAAUAGCAAUCCACCAUUGGUCAAAACAAAGAAAACAACUGAUAUGUGGUACCCAACGCCAGCUGAUACAUCUACAAUACAACUCAACAUCUAAGAUUUCCAACAUUAUGGCAGAGGGAAAGAAAGAAAGAAUGUAACAGUCAGAGGACCAGGACAUCUGCUCCAAGAAAUGUACAUCCAUCAACUCUCAACAAUAUGGUCAUCUAGAUAAUAACUGAACACCAGUGGACAAUCCAAGGUAAAUGAGGGGAAAUCUCACAAGGCUCUACUCCUAGACGAAGAGGUAUAAAAAAUUAAAGGCUUCCAAGAGAAGGAGAAUCAAUCUUUUCUAGGAAUGGUACCCCUAAAGGGUUGUUUAGUCUCAAAUUUUCAAACCUAAUCUAUAGACACAUGAGCAAACUAAAUGGAUUCAUCAGGCUAUUUGUAUGUGUGUGUGGGUUGCUCUCUGUGUGUAGCAAUAAUAGUUCAAAAGGAAGAGAGUGAGUGGAAGGGAGAAUGGGAGAGCAGUU
This 1625-nucleotide small RNA is filed under the name Rattus norvegicus (Norway rat). Its description in RNAcentral is "uncharacterized LOC102551226". The record is from RNAcentral. Lineage: Eukaryota; Metazoa; Chordata; Mammalia; Rodentia; Muridae.